ACACUGCUGAAGAGUCCCAAAAUAGGACGAAACGGACUUUCAGUGC
Molecule: non-coding RNA, 46 nt
Filed under: Schistosoma mansoni
Lineage: Eukaryota; Metazoa; Platyhelminthes; Trematoda; Strigeidida; Schistosomatidae
Source: RNAcentral